UACGUAGGGUGCAAGCGUUAAUCGGAAUUACUGGGCGUAAAGCGUGCGCAGGCGGCUUUGCAAGACAGAUGUGAAAGCCCCGGGCUUAACCUGGGAAUGGCAUUUGGGACUGCAAGGCUUGAGUGCGGCAGAGGAGACUGGAAUUCCUGGUGUAGCAGUGAAAUGCGUAGAUAUCAGGAGGAAUACCGAUGGCGAAGGCAGGUCUCUGGGCUGACACUGACGCUCAUGCACGAAAGCGUGGGGAGCAAACAGG
Molecule: ribosomal RNA, 253 nt
Filed under: uncultured bacterium
Lineage: Bacteria
Description: partial 16S ribosomal RNA
Rfam family: Bacterial small subunit ribosomal RNA
Source: RNAcentral